GACGAACGCUGGCGGCGUGCCUAAUACAUGCAAGUAGAACGCUGAAGGAGGAGCUUGCUUCUCUGGAUGAGUUGCGAACGGGUGAGUAACGCGUAGGUAACCUGCCUGGUAGCGGGGGAUAACUAUUGGAAACGAUAGCUAAUACCGCAUAAGAGUAGAUGUUGCAUGACAUUUGCUUAAAAGGUGCAAUUGCAUCACUACCAGAUGGACCUGCGUUGUAUUAGCUAGUUGGUGGGGUAACGGCUCACCAAGGCGACGAUACAUAGCCGACCUGAGAGGGUGAUCGGCCACACUGGGACUGAGACACGGCCCAGACUCCUACGGGAGGCAGCAGUAGGGAAUCUUCGGCAAUGGACGGAAGUCUGACCGAGCAACGCCGCGUGAGUGAAGAAGGGUGUCGGAUCGUAAAGCUCUGUUGUAAGAGAAGAACGAGUGUGAGAGUGGAAAGUGCACACUGUGACGGUAGCUUACCAGAAAGGGACGGCUAACUACGUG
RNAcentral lists this ribosomal RNA (495 nucleotides) under uncultured bacterium. RNAcentral's name for it is "partial 16S ribosomal RNA". It matches the Rfam family "Bacterial small subunit ribosomal RNA", at positions 28 to 507 of the family's 1533-position model. The record is from RNAcentral.